UUAACGGUGGACGGUACAGGAUACACAUCUACCCUCUGUGAGGUGUGAGCGUGGACUCUCUAACUAAACACCAAAGUCCGCGCUUCCUAGAAGCUGCUUUCGGAUCAAGCAAUUUCGGCACCUCCGGUGCUUUUCAAUUCCAAUCAGAUUUGGGUCUCUCCCUUCCACUCUCUCUCCAUUCGAACCAGAACACUAGCGGUUUACGCGCGGAAUCUUUUAGCGGUGGGAAAUCGCCAGUUGCAGAGCUCGACUAAAGAGAAAGAAAUCCAUGGCUGCUUCACCUGCAAACAAAGGCAAUGGAUGUUAAAACCUUAAUCUCCGCCUAUUCGAGUGAAGCCUGGACAAGACUUCUCAGUUUCCUUCCUUCUUUCAAUUCGAAUUCACUCGCAAAUGUUUUAAAUUUCUACACACGAACAUCCCGUUCAAGAUAUCGGAGAUGGAGAUCGGGCUUUCCUCUUCCAUUGCCAUCAAAGUGACUAAAAUUGUCUCUGGAUGAAAUUGCAGUAGUGGGUUCAACAUUGGAGGCGGCUGGCGACUACGAAAACAGCAAAGAACGAUCAGUUAUGGUUAGUAGUCAAGGAAAAAUGGAGGAAGCUCCCAAGGUACGUGGACUCCUGAACUACACAAAGUUUGGGUCGAUUUGUCUUUACAACAAGUCAUGGCCGG
Molecule: non-coding RNA, 666 nt
Organism: Nelumbo nucifera (sacred lotus)
Lineage: Eukaryota; Viridiplantae; Streptophyta; Magnoliopsida; Proteales; Nelumbonaceae
Source: RefSeq, a predicted model, not a curated record